RNAcentral lists this long non-coding RNA (1035 nucleotides) under Anolis carolinensis (green anole). RNAcentral's name for it is "lncRNA (ENSACAG00000035384.1)". The record is from RNAcentral. Lineage: Eukaryota; Metazoa; Chordata; Lepidosauria; Squamata; Anolidae.
AUGGCAACAUUCCGUGGAAAAUGGGACAAAGAUACAAAAGAAGCUAAGUCAACACCAAGGAGGAACUCCUUACCAGAGGAUGUCAACUGGAAAGAUCUCCUUCGGGAAAUCCAAUCCAUAUCAAACAAACAAGACUUGCUUCAAAAGGAAAUACACGAAAUAGCUCGGAAACAAGACACGCAACACAAGAUAUUACAAGAGGACAUGGCUGAUCUCAAAAAAGAAAUUAAACAAGAAGUGAACAUGAUAAAAACGGAAGUUGUAAAAAACAUCCAAGAAAUCUCGGGACUAAAACUCCAGAACGACAAAAUGGAGAAAAUACAACUAAAAAUGCAAAGGAAAUUAGAGACACUAGAAGCUAAGAACAGCAGGAUAGAGAAGAUACAGGAUAAAUUAGAACAAAACACUACAGAUUUCCAACUAAGACUCAGGAACAUACAAGAAGAGCCAAAAGAAAAUAUUAAACAAAUUUCAGCUCAGAUAAUAGCCAAAAUUUUAAAUUGUACAGAACAGGACGCAUCUGAACAAAUAGAUACAGCCCACAGGAUAUACACAAAUUAUGCAAAAAAAAACAAAGUAGCUAGAGAUACGAUUGUCCAUUUUGUAAAAAAAAGCACAAGAGAAGAGGUCUUCCGAGGCUCCAAACGUCAACCAACGAUAUACAAAGAGAGUAAAAUCAUGGUGUACAAAGAAUUCCCGCAAUCCACAUUAAACAGCAGAAGGAAAUAUCUGUUCCUAACAGAUGAACUGAAACGGCUUCAAAUUAAAUUUAGAUGGGAAAGACAAGAAGGAUUGAUGCUAACAUAUAAAGAGGAGAGAGUCUGGAUAAAAAGCGAGGAGAAAGCUGACGCAUUCUACAGGAAAUUAAAAAAGGAUAUACUACAACAAAUCAAGCAGCAACCACCGAGCCUGGAAAAGAACCCAAGGCAGGCAAAGAAAAGAAGACAAGACUCUCCCAAAGAGAUACAGAUAGCCCUAUUCAAUGAAGAUACUGAAGAUAAUCCAGAGGAAGAUGUGAAGGAGGAAGAAGAAGGC